CCUACGGGAGGCAGCAGUAGGGAAUAUUGCUCAAUGGCGGAAACCCUGAAGCAGCAACGCCGCGUGAGGGAUGAAGGUUUUAGGAUUGUAAACUCCUUUUGUUAGAGAAGAUUAUGACGGUAUCUAACGAAUAAGCACCGUCUAACUCCGUGACAGCAGCGGCGGUAAUACGGAGGGUGCAAGCGUUACGCGGAAUCACUGGGCGUAAAGAGUGCGUAGGCGGGGUAAUAAGUCAGGUGUGAAAACCGGGAGGAUAAAUACAGAACUGCAUUUGAAACUGUUACUCUGGAGUGUGGGAGAGGUAGGUGGAAUGCGUGGUGUAGGGGUAAAAUGCGUAGAGAUCAAGAGGAACACUGAUUGCGAAGGCGGCCUGCUGGAACGUAACUGACGCUGAUGCACGAAAGCGUGGGGAGCAAACAGGAUUAGAUACCCGUGUAGUC
This 440-nucleotide ribosomal RNA is filed under the name uncultured bacterium. RNAcentral's name for it is "partial 16S ribosomal RNA". It matches the Rfam family "Bacterial small subunit ribosomal RNA", at positions 338 to 795 of the family's 1533-position model. The record is from RNAcentral.